This 5733-nucleotide long non-coding RNA is filed under the name Brassica rapa (field mustard). RNAcentral's name for it is "long non-coding RNA (BRAP_LNC004605)". The record is from RNAcentral. Lineage: Eukaryota; Viridiplantae; Streptophyta; Magnoliopsida; Brassicales; Brassicaceae.
CUUGUCCCAGGGUAAAAAGACCAAGCAGCCAAAACUCGGAUCCCCCUAGCCAGCCUCAGAAUCCAUACGGACAACCUAUGGCUCCUCCGACUCAGAAUCCCUCUAUGGCUCCUCCAACUCAGAAUCCAUACGGUCAACCUAUGACUCCACCAACUCAGAAUCCAUACGGUCAACCUAUGGCUCCACCAACUCAGAAUCAGAACCCGCCUGGACCAAACCAGAAUCCGAUGACUCCUCCACCUCAGAAUCAGAAUGGUAAUGGGCAGUUUGUGCCUCCUCCCAGUGUAAACCAAGCUCCAAACGACCAGUUUAUGAAUCCCCCAAUGGAGGAUGAGAGUCAAAGAGCUGAAACUGGGAGGGUUGCCAAGAGCCCAUCCUCGUCUGACAUUCUUCGACCUUACCCUGUCUUGUUGUUUCUUGGCCUCAGUCUAACUGCUUUGAGACAAUCGUGCACGACAUGAACCAACACUGUUCUUCCUUUUUAAUGGGAAUUAGUACAUAAGCAACUUCAUUGUCUUCCGAGAGAUUCUGAACUUUAUUGAUCAAAGUCCUUUUUAUUACCUUGAAUUGGAUUCACAACUCAUACAUGUAAAACUUGUCUAUUUCAUGUAUAUAGUAUUGUCUCAACUUGAAUAAAGAAAAUUACAAGUUUUUAAAAAGUAAAUAAAGGGAGAAAUCAAAAUGCAUAACUCAUUUCUUGGGUUUUGUUUUCUUAGGAGCAGAGCUUCUAGCCUUCUUUGCUGGUUGCUGCUUCUCUUUAGAUGGCCUUCCUCUCUUUUUCCCUGCAACCUGCAAACAUUCCACAAAAACUUCCUUCACUGUCAUACAUAUAUAUAUAUUGAUUUCAUGAGGAAUUCUAAGCUUUGCCAACGUACAUUUUCGCCUUUCGCUUUAGCUUUGCCAUUUGCGUUGGUUACCUCCGCUGCACCUCCAGUUUGAUCAGCUGGCUUUGAAGCAGUCUUGCCGUUUUUGUUAGAUUCAUCAUCUGACUCGAACGAGAAUCCCUCCAGAGUGCCUAUAAAUGGUUCACAAAGUUAAGCUGGAGAAGUAAGCAUUUGCGUACAGUCAGAUUACCCGAUCUACAAUAGAGACAGAGAAAACGAUCUGACCUUCCAUCAUUGUUUCUGCUUCAUAGACAUUAGAUUGUGGUGUUAGCUGUAUGAAGUCAUUCAUAAUAGCUUCAAUCUGACAAGCAAACAUAUGAUCCAAAAGUAGGUUGUUACUCCAAUCCAUGUUUUAGUUUCCCAUACAACAGAUAAAAACUAGUUCCCCAAAGAAGUUUAAAGCUUCAAGACAAAGAUCUAUGCGUUGCAAAAUGAAGGAAGCGCAAGAGAAAUAUUACUAACCUUUGCCUCUGACUGGCCAACAUUAACCUGAAACGCAAGAUCUCUGGUGUGAGUAAUUGCAUAUAACAAGUGCCGCCCUUACAAGUUUAAAAGAAGGUACAAGGAAAACAAAAACCGUACAAUGCAAAACGUUCUGGAUGGAACGAUUGUUGAUUUAUAUAUGGUUCCUGAAACAUGAAAUGGUAAAAUGUUAGUGAAGAGACUCCAAUCAUGAACUGAAUCUCUAUCACAUGUUGUGCAAGAGAAAAAAAUACAGAAUCAUUUUGAACAUCAGAAGAAGCAUAAAAAUGAUUGGGGGAACAACAUGCCUUUCAAGUCCAAGUAUACGUCCUCGGUUGUGUCUGAAACAACCACACGCCCAACAGCCCCCAUGUCUCCGCUCAAAUCUAUAGAGUCCCCUUCACAUUCAACCAGUACCUGUAAAAUUGGUUCAAUGCUUUUUUAACAACUGUGCUUUAUCUACAAUUAUACUCUGGUAUGGAUGUAGUUAAGCCGUUCCGCAACAUAAGUGUCACCAGCCGCCAUAGCAAAGAUAUAUAAACGUGGACUGUAAAGCCAGGUGCAAAGGAACAUAUUUGUAUUACCUUUGUGCGAUUCACCUUCUCAGAAAGUACCAAAGGCAACCUUGAACUUGAGCCCUGGAAUUUACAAAUCUGGUCAGUAAGGAAGAACCAGAGAAGAAACAACGAUAGUGGUCAUAGCACAAGAUUCUUACAGAAGAAGGCUUGACAUUCUUAUCCUUUGUUACUUCCUCAGCUACUGUGGCAUCUUUAUCUUUAUCUGCAUGAUAGAGGAACCGUUACAUUGCUCUAGAAUAAUCCUUAAAGUCAAAAAGCUUUGGUUCAAUUCAUACCUUCAGUUUUCAAAAUUUCUUGUGCACUGUCUUCUUUCUUGGGUGACUGGUGGCCACUAUUUGCCUUUUUCUUGGGAGAUUUUUUCUUUGGAGCCUUCUUAACCGCAGGUUCUCCCUCUUUAGCUUGAAUAGCAUUAUCCUCAUCCUUUUCAGUAGCCAUAGUCACUUGCUGACUCAUUGGUUCACUAGAGGGUGGUUCAGAAUCAGAUGAGACAAGCCAUACAUAAUCAUCUCCUUCCUGACAAAGAAAAGAAAAAGAGAAACAGUAUAGCCUGUCAAAUCCAGACCAAACUAAGAAUUAACAUUUCUUUUACAUUACUUAGACAUGUAGAGAACAGAGAAGACACUGCCACAUAAUUACAACAUCACUCAUGCAGCUGGGAAGCUUCUGUGGAGGAGGGUUCAUAACUAACAGAUCACAAUCUCAAAAAAAUAAAAUUUAUUUAUCAAACAGACGCAUGUAAACAAGAAGAGCUCCAUUCACACUACUAAGAAAAGUAGAUUCAGCAAAAGCACAAGCGAGUAUAACAGAGACGGGGUCCAAACGUUUCUUACUUUAGCGUCCUUAUGCUUGCUAGACCAUUCUUCACCAUCAACUUUGCUUCCAUUCUCCUUCUCUGCAAAUUGCUCCCAAGUAAAAAAAAGGCCUUUAGAAGCUCAACAGUUGGAAUACUACUUCCAUACCUUCAAGGUUGACAGUAGCAUCUGCAUUCUUCUUCUUCCUCCUAGAAAACACCUGCUCGAUACUCACUUGGUUUGUCACCAACUUCGCUUUGGAAUCAUUCUUAGACAAAGACUCAGCGGACUCUUUGUCCACAAUAGUCACGGCAUCACCGUCAUCAGGCACAGGAAGAGACGAAAUGGGUUCAGAUUCCCUGGGAGGACUAUCAUCUGGAGAAGAUAGUGAUAACAAUGAAGUGGUGGGUGCCUGCACAACAACAAAAAUGAAAAAGCUUCCACCUUUCAAUCCUGUUCCUGUAAUAAAGCAAACCCAAUACACAAAAAUAGAAUUCAGAAUGAAUCAAAUAAGCAAAACCUGGAAAGAUCGAAGCCAAUCGGGAGAUCCCUCUCUGGAGCUGCUGCUCAUAAUUCACUACUCCAGAUCUCAAAAUUACAGCAAUUCAAGCUUCUCCCGACUUCAAUGUCUGCUCAAUUGAAACAAAAUAAGCUCGUGGAUACAUGCAUUUCUUUCGCAGGUCAAAACCCUAAAAGAGAUCUUAAGAAACCAUAGAUUCGAUGAAAUCGAAGCUCACCUGAAGAAAGCAGAAGUUUAGAAUCUACGAACGUUGAAAUCCGGAGAGGAGAUCUAGAUUGACGGAGGGAGGGAGGGAAGCGAGAGUUUCCGCCGCCGGCGAGAUUGAAGUGUGUGAAAGACGCGGGAAGAUUGGCCACUAAUCGCUUGUUCCGGUUUGGUCCAAACAGAAGAAAACAAGUCUACUUACAUACUAAUCAUUCAUAUAUAUAUGUAUGUAUGUUUCCAAAACUUUUUCAUUCAUAAAAGUUUUUAAAAUCACGUUUCCAUGUUUCGAAACGUUUCGUUUCUGCGUAUCCGUUAUAAAAAGUACCGUACAGAUUUUUGAAAACCAAUUACUAUGGUAUUUCUUUUAUUUUCCUUCUUUAGCAUAUUCUUUUAUUUUAUGGUUAUUUUUUUAUGUCUAACCUUAAAUAUAGUAAGAAACUCUUGCAAUGUCGCACGAAAACUUAUUUAUAAAAAUAGAUAUUCCAUAUUUUAUAAGAUAAUUUUUUAUAAGAAAAACAUUUACAAUUUCUUUUAAAAAAAUAAAUGUGUUACAAAAAUAAGUUAUUUUUUAUAAUAAGAAGGUACGACUCUUUAAACUAAAUAAUUGUAGAAAUAUACUUAUUGGAAUAUUUUAAUUAUUUUUAAACUAAUUUAUUUUUAUAAUGAAAAAACACCACUCUUAAUACUAAUAUAGUUCAGUUUUUUUUUGGUAUGAAAAGAAAUAUCUUUAUUAUAACGAAGAAACACAACUUUUAAAAUUAAUAAAGUUUAGUUUUUCAUGAAAAGAUACCUUUUGAAUAAUGUAAAACACAACUCUUAUAACUAAUACAUUUCAGUUUUUUUUAUAUGAAAAGACUCAUUUUUUAACAUUAUUUCGGAUUAUUAUUACUAGUUUUUUUUUAUAGUGAGAAGACACAACUUUUGAAACUAUUAAUUAUAGAAAGACACCUAUUGAGAUAUAUUAACUACUUUUAAACUAAUUUAUUUUUUAUGAUGAAAAGUUACAACUUAAAACUAAUAGAGUUCAUUUUUCAUAAAAGGACACAAUUUUUAAAAUCAACAGAGUUCAGUUUUUAGUGAAAAGACAUAACUUUUUUUAUAACGAAGAAACACAACUUUUGAAACUAAUAGAGUUCAGUUUGUUUUUAGCGAAAAAAACAUAACUUUUUUUAUAAUGAAGAAACACAACUUUUGAAACUAAUAUAGUUCAUUUUUUUCUGAAAAGACAUGCCUUUCUAAUAUAUUCUAAUAUAUAAAAGCACAAUUCUCAAAACUAAUAUAUUUUAAUUUUUGUGAAAAAACACAACUUUAAAUAUUAAUUAGGACUACUAUUAUUAAUAGAUUUGUCUAUUAUAAUGAAAAUACACAACUUUUGAAACUAAUAAUUGUAGAAAAAACUUAUUAAGAUAUUUUAACUACUUUUAAACUAAUUUCUUUUUUUAUAAUGAAAAGAUGAAACUCUUAAAACUAAUAGAGUUUAAUUUUUUUUGAAAAACCAAAUUUUUAUAAUGAAAAGUAACAACUCUUAAGCUAAUACAUUUCAGUUUUUUUUUAUGAAACAACACAAAUUUUUACAUCAAUUGGGAUUGCUAAUUUCUUAUAAAGAGAAAUAAUUUUCUAAUAUUUUCUAAUAUAUAAAACACACAAAUAUUAAACUAAUACAUUUUAUUUUUAUGAAAAGACACAACUUUUAACAUUAAUUAUUUCUAUUAUUAAUUUGUCUUUUAUAAUGAAAAACACAUAACUUUUAAAACUAAUAAUUAUAGAAAGACACUGAUAGACCAUGGAUUUGACCCAUUUUCAUCCAUGGUUUAUAGGUGUUUUUACUAUCUAUUAUUAUAUUGUAGAGUAUUUAUUAUAUUUAUAAGAUCAGGAGUGAUUUAGAGAUAAGUGAUGAUUUUGGAGCAUUUUGGAGAUAUUUGGAGUAAGCACCUGAGAUGACCAUCGAGCUCGACCAUCGGUCGAUAUUAGAGGAGGAAUAUCGAUUGAUGUUCACACUUGAACAUUGAUCGACAGCGAAGCGCGCAGAAAGGCCGUUUGGUCACAGCCAACUUGAAGCCCAAGAUUUCACCGAUUUACAAGAUUGCAUCUGACGAGUUUUAACCUAACUAUAUAAACUUUGCCACCAUAUUAGAGGCAAAGUGUGAUUUUCUGUGUUUUUAGUUUUAUUACUUUCAGCAAAAGAUUUUAGGAUUGUGAUAGAUUGGAGAGAAAAUCCAAAGUUAUAAUUUGUGAUUGGAACUCCGUUAAUAUCUAUUUUACUAUUUUAUGAAGUUUUCUAACCUAAUUGCUUU